UCCUACGGGAGGCAGCAGUCGGGAAUUUUGCUCAAUGGGCGCAAGCCUGAAGCAGCAACGCCGCGUGAGGGAUGAAGGCCUUCGGGUUGUAAACCUCUUUUAUCAGGGACGAUUAUGACGGUACCUGAUGAAUAAGCCACGGCUAACUACGUGCCAGCAGCCGCGGUAAU
RNAcentral lists this ribosomal RNA (170 nucleotides) under uncultured Geothrix sp. Its description in RNAcentral is "partial 16S ribosomal RNA". It matches the Rfam family "Bacterial small subunit ribosomal RNA", at positions 337 to 524 of the family's 1533-position model. The record is from RNAcentral. Lineage: Bacteria; Pseudomonadati; Acidobacteriota; Holophagae; Holophagales; Holophagaceae.